UGGCAGCUCAGGCCAGGAGCAGCUCACAGAGUGGGGUGGGGCUGAGGGGACGGGAGGAGAUGCUGUUGGGCCAGCCCACAGGGGUUGUCAGAGGCAUCAGGGUGAGUCUGAAAUAAUAAGAAAAGCCAGGCAGAUGGGCAACCAGUUCACCAACCCAAAGGGACUGGUCAGAGAAAGAUCUAGUUCCCAUGGCUCUGGACUGAAACACGGGACUCCAGAGCAGAAUGACAGAGUCUGAAAGGCUGGAGUUAAGCUCCCUGAGUGUAAGGGUUGGAUGGUGAGCAAGAGCUAGACAAGUGAGGAGUCAGAAGAAAAGGACAGCAAGUUAAGGCUUUAGGUGUAUCCCUGCGACCCUGGGAACCACGGGAAGUUUUCAGCAAAGGAGGGCUCUGGCUACAGAUGGAAGAUAUACAGCAGGGGUCCCUGGGGGACAAUACGCAGAGGCUGCCGGGGGCCUGAACUGAUUCAGUGACAGUGGAGAGAGAAAGAGAGAUGAGAGGUGUGAAGGAGACAGAAUGCGCUGGAUUUAGGAUACCUUUGAAUAUAAGAUGCUGGCAAAGCAGAGGUCAAGGUCACGAAUGACUUUCAGACUUACUGACCUGAAGACUGGAGAACGUAACUGAGAUUCCCCACUCGGCCAAUUUUCAGACUUUCACAACACAGGUCACUGUCCCCUUGGAGGCCUCAGUUUCUAAUUCUCAGAGCAAGCAAGUUGGUCAGAGUAGUGGUUUCUAAUUACAGGCCCCAGGGCCAUCCUGCUGGGUGUGGCUGGGCCUCAGGAAAGGAGCCCUGAGCUGGAGUCAGAAGACCUGGCUCGAGUCCUGGCUCUGCCUGCGACAUUAGGCAGGAUACAGUAUUUCUGAACCUGGGUCUUCAUUUGUGUAAAUGGAGAUAAUUAUCCAUUUACUCAAGAAAUAAACACACUGGGCAAAAGAUGAAAAGAAUGAGACUCGGCUUGUGCCUCAGGGAACUCACAGUCCAGGAAGAGAAGCAGACGUAUAAACAGAUUAUUGCAAAGGAGCUUGAUGAGGCCCAGAGGGAUUCUUCAGCAAGCAAGACCUUGAUCAACUCCAUAUUAUUAACACCCAGCAUCACCAGGUGGACGCACCAAUGGUCCAGUGGUGGUUCCAGGCAUCAGAGACUCCAUCUUCCAUAAGCUAAUAUCGACCUAAAGAGACUCAGUAGUGCAGGUUCUGGGGAGCUGGCGCUGUGUUCAGUCCAUGGUUGGACCCCAAUGCCUCACACCAUGCCUGGGAUAUGCCUCCAGGGAGAAUGGCAUCUCAACCACCGCACCUGGACCAUUCAGGAUCUUUAAAGAUUUAGUUGCAUCCACUCAAGAAAUAGGCAGAGAUGUAGCUCAUCUCAGAUUUUCUAACUCUGUUUUAUUUGACCAGUGCACUUUGGGCAGCUCCGCUGUGCCAGUCUCUGGACACAGAGAUGAAUAGGACCUCAAGAAUGUCACAGCCUAUGUGGAGAAAAGGGAACCCUCCUGCACUGCUGGUGGGAAUGCAGUUUGGUGCAGCCACUGUGGAAAACAGUAUGGAGAUUCCUCAAAAGACUAGGAAUAGACUUACC
Molecule: non-coding RNA, 1575 nt
Organism: Vicugna pacos (alpaca)
Lineage: Eukaryota; Metazoa; Chordata; Mammalia; Artiodactyla; Camelidae
Source: RefSeq, a predicted model, not a curated record